Molecule: ribosomal RNA, 468 nt
Filed under: uncultured bacterium
Lineage: Bacteria
Description: bacterial SSU rRNA
Rfam family: Bacterial small subunit ribosomal RNA
Source: RNAcentral
ACGAACGCUGGCGGCGUGCUUAACACAUGCAAGUCACGGGGGGUGGGGCAACCCAUCAACCGGCGAACGGGUGCGUAACACGUGAGCGACCUGCCCAGUUGCGGGGGAUAGCCGGCCCAACGGCCGGGUAAUACCGCAUACGCUUCCUUGGGGGCAUCCCUGGGGAAGGAAACCUACGGGGCGAUUGGAGGGGCUCGCGGCCUAUCAGCUAGUUGGCGAGGUAACGGCUCACCAAGGCGAUGACGGGUAGCUGGUCUGAGAGGAUGGCCAGCCACAUUGGGACUGAGAGACGGCCCAGACUCCUACGGGAGGCAGCAGUGGGGAAUCUUGCGCAAUGGCCGAAAGGCUGACGCAGCGACGCCGCGUGGAGGAUGACGCCCUUCGGGGUGUAAACUCCUGUUGCCCGGGACGAAUGCCUGUUUCGACAGGAGUGACGGUACCGGGUGAGGAAGCACCGGCUAACUCUGU